This 685-nucleotide ribosomal RNA is filed under the name uncultured bacterium. RNAcentral describes it as "bacterial SSU rRNA". It matches the Rfam family "Bacterial small subunit ribosomal RNA", at positions 69 to 761 of the family's 1533-position model. The record is from RNAcentral.
AAGGAUUUCUUCGGAAUGAAUUUGAUUAAGUUUAGUGGCGGACGGGUGAGUAACGCGUGAGUAACCUGCCUCUAAGAGGGGAAUAACAUUCUGAAAAGAAUGCUAAUACCGCAUAACAUAUAUUUAUCGCAUGGUAGAUAUAUCAAAGAUUUAUCGCUUAGAGAUGGACUCGCGUCCGAUUAGUUAGUUGGUGAGGUAACGGCUCACUAAGACCGCGAUCGGUAGCCGGACUGAGAGGUUGAACGGCCACAUUGGGACUGAGACACGGCCCAGACUCCUACGGGAGGCAGCAGUGGGGGAUAUUGCGCAAUGGGGGAAACCCUGACGCAGCAACGCCGCGUGAAGGAUGAAGGUCUUCGGAUUGUAAACUUCUUUUAUUAAGGACGAAGAAAGUGACGGUACUUAAUGAAUAAGCUCCGGCUAACUACGUGCCAGCAGCCGCGGUAAUACGUAGGGAGCAAGCGUUGUCCGGAUUUACUGGGUGUAAAGGGUGCGUAGGCGGCUUUGCAAGUCAGAUGUGAAAUCUAUGGGCUCAACCCAUAGCCUGCAUUUGAAACUGCAGAGCUUGAGUGAAGUAGAGGCAGGCGGAAUUCCCCGUGUAGCGGUGAAAUGCGUAGAGAUGGGGAGGAACACCAGUGGCGAAGGCGGCCUGCUGGGCUUUAACUGACGCUGAGGCACGAAAGCG